CCUGCGGAGGGAUCAUUACUGAGUUACCGCUCAUCAACCCUUUGUGAACAUACCUUAACUGUUGCUUCGGCGGGUAGGCGUCCCCUAAAAAGGACGUCUCCCGGCCCUCUCCCGUCCGCGGGUGGGGCGCCCGCCGGAGGAUAACCAAACUCUGAUUUAACGACGUUUCUUCUGAGUGACACAAGCAAAUAAUCAAAACUUUUAACAACGGAUCUCUUGGUUCUGGCAUCGAUGAAGAACGCAGCGAAAUGCGAUAAGUAAUGUGAAUUGCAGAAUUCAGUGAAUCAUCGAAUCUUUGAACGCACAUUGCGCCCGCCAGCAUUCUGGCGGGCAUGCCUGUUCGAGCGUCAUUUCAACCCUCAAGCUCUGCUUGGUGUUGGGGCUCUACGGUUGACGUAGGCCCUUAAAGGUAGUGGCGGACCCUCUCGGAGCCUCCUUUGCGUAGUAACAUUUCGUCUCGCAUUGGGAUUCGGAGGGACUCUAGCCGUAAAACCCCCAAUUUUACUAAGGUUGACCUCGGAUCAGGUAGGAAUACCCGCUGAACUUAAGCAUAUCAAU
Molecule: ribosomal RNA, 558 nt
Filed under: Colletotrichum truncatum
Lineage: Eukaryota; Fungi; Ascomycota; Sordariomycetes; Glomerellales; Glomerellaceae
Description: eukaryotic LSU rRNA
Rfam family: 5.8S ribosomal RNA (bases 197-350)
Source: RNAcentral